AGUGAACGCUGGCGGUAGGCCUAACACAUGCAAGUCGAACGGCAGCACAGUAAGAGCUUGCUCUUACGGGUGGCGAGUGGCGGACGGGUGAGGAAUACAUCGGAAUCUACUUUUUCGUGGGGGAUAACGUAGGGAAACUUACGCUAAUACCGCGUACGACCUACGGGUGAAAGCAGGGGAUCUUCGGACCUUGCGCGAUUGAAUGAGCCGAUGUCGGAUUAGUUAGUUGGCGGGGUAAAGGCCCACCAAGGCGACGAUCCGUAGCUGGUCUGAGAGGAUGAUCAGCCACACUGGAACUGAGACACGGUCCAGACUCCUACGGGAGGCAGCAGUGGGGAAUAUUGGACAAUGGGCGCAAGCCUGAUCCAGCCAUACCGCGUGGGUGAAGAAGGCCUUCGGGUUGUAAAGCCCUUUUGUUGGGAAAGAAAAGCAGCAGGUUAAUACCCCGCUGUUCUGACGGUACCCAAAGAAUAAGCACCGGCUAACUUCGUG
Molecule: ribosomal RNA, 492 nt
Filed under: uncultured bacterium
Lineage: Bacteria
Description: partial 16S ribosomal RNA
Rfam family: Bacterial small subunit ribosomal RNA
Source: RNAcentral